Long non-coding RNA from Stomoxys calcitrans (stable fly), 371 nucleotides. RefSeq lists it as uncharacterized. Lineage: Eukaryota; Metazoa; Arthropoda; Insecta; Diptera; Muscidae. The transcript is spliced from 2 exons. The record is from RefSeq and is a predicted model, not a curated record.
UUGGCAAAACUGGAUGUCAUGAAGUAAACCCCAAGCUUUCAGCACGAGGCUUACGAGGGGGGGAAUGUUGCGUGGUGCACUAAUUAUGCACUCUGCCCACUAACUACGCAUAUGAUUACAAGACGUCAUCUCAUUUUUGGCAAUCUGGUACUCGACUAGCUGAGCAUCUGUCAUAGGCAAUCAGCGAUGACUCUGUCCUUUUGCAGAUGAAUCUACAUGUGAAUGGUCGUCAACCAUUGCUAGUAGGAAGUAUUUUUUUAAUAUUGCCAAACAAAUUGAGAGAAGUGCGCCAGACUAAGCCCCAGCCAAACACAAAUAUUUUAGUGUUGUCACCAAUUGAAAUAAAAUCAGUUUUGGAUCACUCAAAAUAA